AGGCUGUGGUAAAGCAUCAGUUCUCGAACGGAUCGCUACUGCAACGGUUAUCCAUUUAGUUGGAGGGAAUCGGUUUGUAUAGAUUACAACGAAAAGGUUUCUUCUAGGUCUAGUGAGGAACGCCUUGAAGCCGCUUCAAACGAGCCAAUUUACCUUCCAAUCUUCCAAGAUGAAAUCGACCUUCCUGGUGGUGUUGGAGCUGGCGUUUUUCCUUCUGCCCGGCCGGGUUCUGUACGCCCAGAAGGAUAACGGUAAGUAAUGGUGGAACUUUACCCCAAACCCCCCAAUACUGUAAGGUAAAGGUGAGCUACAUUAACCAAGAAGCAAGAAAGAAACAGCCAGUAUGUUUCCUGAUAAUGCAAAGUCGCCCUGCCCGAAAGGAAGACCUUGGUGUGGCCUUCAGGGUUCUCGGUGGCUAAUGUGGUCGCUGAAUUUAUGGUUCCUCCACCAAUUGGCUUGGUCCUGUUGGAUGAGCGAGGAACCCAUUUUACAGCACGAUUGCUUUAUCCUGGUUGGUCGUUUAGUUUGGUUUGUCGACGAGUUGGGUGAGCUGAAGUAGGCGGCGAAAACCUGGUUACUAAGGUGGAGUUUGCUCAGCCAAAGUUGGGUAAGUAGACGAGAAUCAAGCAUUUUCAUUUGAGGUUAUCAUAGCGGGCGGUGGAUGGGGAGUGCAACCGAAGAAAAAGGUACGUGUAGUCGCUUUAAUUGCAUAUUAUGAGUUAUUUAUGUCCAAUGAAAAUAUGAUUACUGGCAGAAAACGGGUGCAAACUUUACAUGAAGGGCCAACUAGUUAGCAGCGCCUGUUCUCUAUUUUUUCUGUCUACUUAUACCUGCAUGAGGUUUGGUAAUAUGUGUGCUUUUAAACUGUUCAUCAAUGUCUACUGUGAUUGCUGUCGUUGGGUGGGAAGACCACAGGCUGUGCGCAGUACUUCUUAAAGCUUUGCCUAAUUAGUUUAACCGUACUAUUUCGAAUUCGUACUAAUUCCACACCUGCGACCAGGUAUCGACGAAAGCACCGCUCGAGUGUAUGUGCCGUCCCUGCACCGGCAUUGAGGAUGCGAACGUGAUCCCCCAGGAGCUGACAUCGUUCGCCGACGAGGGCACACUGACUGGCUACUUCCAGAAAUCCCACUACAAAUCUGUGGAAUAAUUCCAUCUGGAAAAGUGCUCGCUUCUGAAUCUGUUUGUUUAAAAAAGAUUCAUGGAUGAUGAAAGAUUAACUCCGUUAGGACGUUGUGUGGCGUUGGGUAGCUGUAUUGGGGUGAGGGAGUCCCGAGAGAGGAAGUAACUGUGUUCAAUCGUGUUAGUCAGCUUAGUUUUGUUAGUAGAUAAGAUCGACGUUAAAAGGGAACGAAUUUUGUGGCUCAAAAACUAAAUAGAAGAGAACAAGAGAGAGGGUAGCUUACGAUGUUAAGGAGUAAUGUCAUCGGUGUUUUAACAAGCUGUAUCAAUAAAGCUGAGAUCGUAGAAUUAAUGAGGAAAA
Anopheles stephensi (Asian malaria mosquito) is the source of this 1483-nucleotide long non-coding RNA. RefSeq lists it as uncharacterized. NCBI's taxonomy places the organism in Eukaryota, Metazoa, Arthropoda, Insecta, Diptera, Culicidae. The transcript is spliced from 3 exons. The record is from RefSeq and is a predicted model, not a curated record.